Molecule: ribosomal RNA, 783 nt
Filed under: uncultured Acidaminobacter sp.
Lineage: Bacteria; Bacillati; Bacillota; Clostridia; Peptostreptococcales; Acidaminobacteraceae
Description: bacterial SSU rRNA
Rfam family: Bacterial small subunit ribosomal RNA
Source: RNAcentral
AGCGCGAUUAGUUGGACUGGAGACUUCGGUCAAAGGGAAGAUUAUGAAAGCGGCGGACGGGUGAGUAACGCGUGAGCAACCUGCCCUGUACAGGGGGAUAGCCACUGGAAACGGUGAUUAAUACCCCAUAACCCCAAAGGACCGCAUGGUCCAAUGGGCAAAGUCCAAACGGUACAGGAUGGGCUCGCGUCUGAUUAGCUAGUUGGUGAGGUAACGGCUCACCAAGGCGACGAUCAGUAGCCGACCUGAGAGGGUGAACGGCCACACUGGAACUGAGACACGGUCCAGACUCCUACGGGAGGCAGCAGUGGGGAAUAUUGCACAAUGGGCGCAAGCCUGAUGCAGCAACGCCGCGUGAGUGAAGAAGGCCUUCGGGUCGUAAAACUCUGUCCUAAGGGAAGAAGAAGUGACGGUACCUUAGGAGGAAGCCCCGGCUAACUACGUGCCAGCAGCCGCGGUAAUACGUAGGGGGCAAGCGUUAUCCGGAAUCACUGGGCGUAAAGGGUGCGUAGGCGGCUGAUCAAGCCAGGGGUGAAAGGCUGUGGCUUAACCAUGGUAAGCCUUUGGAACUGGUCAGCUUGAGUGCAGGAGAGGAAAGCGGAAUUCCUAGUGUAGCGGUGAAAUGCGUAGAUAUUAGGAGGAACACCCGUGGCGAAGGCGGCUUUCUGGACUGUAACUGACGCUGAGGCACGAAAGCGUGGGGAGCAAACAGGAUUAGAUACCCUGGUAGUCCACGCUGUAAACGAUGAAUACUAGGUGUCGGGGGUCAAAGCCCGGUUGCCC